This 73-nucleotide transfer RNA is filed under the name Ogataea polymorpha. It matches the Rfam family "tRNA". Rfam says of the family: Transfer RNA (tRNA) molecules are approximately 80 nucleotides in length. Their secondary structure includes four short double-helical elements and three loops (D, anti-codon, and T loops). Further hydrogen bonds mediate the characteristic L-shaped molecular structure. tRNAs have two regions of fundamental functional importance: the anti-codon, which is responsible for specific mRNA codon recognition, and the 3' end, to which the tRNAs corresponding amino acid is attached (by aminoacyl-tRNA synthetases). tRNAs cope with the degeneracy of the genetic code in two manners: having more than one tRNA (with a specific anti-codon) for a particular amino acid; and 'wobble' base-pairing, i.e. permitting non-standard base-pairing at the 3rd anti-codon position. RNAcentral also lists the same sequence under 2 other names. Lineage: Eukaryota; Fungi; Ascomycota; Pichiomycetes; Pichiales; Pichiaceae. The record is from Rfam by way of RNAcentral.
GUUAGAAUAGCUUAAUUGGCAAAGCGAUAUACUGUUAAUAUAUUUUAUUUGGGUUCAAGUCCCAAUUUUAACU